UUAAUAUACAUAUCAUUUAGUUAUAUAAUAAUAAUAAUAAUCAUACACAUAAUUUGAUUUAAUAAUAACCUAAUCUGACAGCAGGAGGCACCUCUGGAACACCAGAUACAGACCAGAUACAGCGUUUUCUCGGUUACCGCUAUAAACAAAGCUGCGCUUCGCUGAAACACUGCUGAAACAAUGAACUUUACAGAGACGAGAUGAAAAGAAAACACCACGUACACUUUUCAGAAGACAGUCAGCUCCCAUCAGAAACACAUUCAUAUAAACCCCCAAAUCAAUAUUGAGGAUUUUCUUACAAUAGUUCAUGCAUCAUGAACAGUGAGUGAUCUGCAUGCUACAGUAUUUUUCUCUGUGGGUUCGUCUUCUGCGUCUCUUGCCUGUGUUAACGGGUGUUAACAGACUUCAUGUUUUCACGUAUAAUGACAUUUUGGAAAAUGAUUGCAUUGCAACGCAGUUUAAGUCCAGAACCGAGAGUUGCAAUAAGGCAAAAAACGUCCGGCAUUACGCUGUUUUCAUCAUCAAUGAAACUCGCGGACAGCCGUGCACAACCAGGUACUGCGCAUGUGUCGAGCUCAUCCGUCCGCGCUCAUCUGCAGUUGAGUUUACUUUUGAAAGCUGUGCGGCUGUGUGCGAAACUGAAAGGAACGCUGAAUGUGAAGUUCCAGGGGCAGCUCCUUAAGUUUGGCCAUCCUACACACACACGUGACUGACCGCUCGCUCGCACCAUCAGGAGGAGGAAGGGUCAGUGUUACUCUCUACACUGCACUCAGCCUGAGGGAUUCCUACUCUUUCAGUCAUUGAGGAGACAUGGAAAACAGUGUAUACCGCAGGAUCGGUAUAGUAGAAAAUAUUUGUGGUUUUGAAACCGUGAAAUUUUCAAACCACGGUAUACCUUGAAACCGGUAAUCGGCCCAUGCCUUGUGUCCCGUAAAAGCCAGAACCCGUCAGUAGGUAAGGGGUUACUAGGGGGUGGGGUUACAUUGGCUAAAUCCUCUCUUGCUGCUACCCUCUUUCAUCAAGUUGCAGUGGUCCUCAGCCACUUAUGACUGUCAGGCUUUAAUUGACUCUGGUGUUGAGGGUAAUUAAGACUCUGAUCUUUCUUUCAGACUUGAACUCCCUGUGUUUGCUCUCUCCCAGCCUAUUGCUGUCCAUGUUCUCAGUGGUGUAUCUCUUCCUUCCAUCACUCACAUUACAGGUCCAGUAAGACUCAUCACUUCUGGAUGAGCAUAUGGACCUGUCAAACGCGCCCAGUGAGUACCUCGACCAGAAGAGAGCAUUCAGUAAUUCUCAAACUGCUUCUCUACCUCUGCAUUGUCCCUAUGAUUGUGCAAUAGAUUUAUUACCAGGUACAUCUCCGCCUACUUUAUAUGCUUUCUGCCCCAGAGAGGGAGGCCAUGGAGAAAUAUAUUUCUGGUUCUCUAGCAGCCAAGAUCAUUUUCCCCUCACCGGCUUUUUUGUUGUUGUUGUUGUUUGUUUGUUUGUUUUGUUUCUUUGUGAAAAAAGACUGGUCUCUUUGUCCCUGUAUCGAGGGCUGAACAACAUCUCAGUGAAGAAUACAUAUCCUUUGCCAUUGUCUUCUGCCUUUGAAUGUCUGCAGGGGGCAUCCAUGAAAUUGGACCUCUGCAACGCUUAUCAUUUGGUUCGCAUAAGGGAGGGGGAUGAAUGGAAGACUGCUUUUAAUACCCCCAGGGGGCACUUUGAAUAUUGCGUUCCUUUUGGGCUUUCCAAAGCCCCCGCAGUCUUCCAGGCACUCGUCAAUGACAUGUUGAGAGAGAUGCUAGAUCAGUUCAUUUGUCUUCCUGGAUGACAUACUGAUAGUUUCUCUCCAGGAACAUGUUCAGGAUGUCAGGUGGGUGCUUCAUUCAGAAUGGUCUUUGUCAAGACGGAGAAAUGUGCUUUCCAUGUACAGUCUGUUCCCUCUUUUGGUUACAUUGUGUCAGUCAAGGGGAUGCACAUGGAUCUGGACAAGAUUCAGGCUGUGGUUGAUUGGCCAAUUCCAGAUUUGCGCUAGGCCCUGCAGAGGUUUCUGUGCUUUGCCAAUUUCUACCUGCGUUUUAUUUGCAAUUUAAUGCAGCUAGCUGCCCCUUUGACUACCUUCCAUUCAGGUGGUACAGUGCAGCUGAAGCUGCGUUUGCCAAACUGAAGAGCUGCUUGUUUUCAGCUCCCAUCCUUAUCGCCCCGAUCCCUCCUGGCAGUUUGUGGUGGAGGUUGACGCGUCAGAAGUGGGGGUUGGUGCCAUCCUAUCCCAGCGUUCUUCCUUGGCCGGUAAGAUGCAUUCUUGCGCAUAUUUUUCUCACUGUUUGUCUCCCUCUGGAUGCAACUAUGAUAUUGGUAAUAGAGAGCUGCUGGCAGUCAAGCUUACCUUGGAGGAAUGGCAUCAUUGGUUAGAAGGUUCGGGGUUCCUUUUGUCAUCUGGACAGAUCAUAAGAAUCUUGAGUACAUCAAGUCUGCGAAAAGAUUGAACUCUAGGCAGGCUUGGUGAGCUUUAUUUUUCGGUCGUUUCGAUUUUCUUUUUUAUCUGCUGGGCUCCAAGAACAUUAAGCCCGAUGCGUUAUCCCGAAGUUUUGACAUUCAGCAUGCCUGUCUUAUCUCGAGCCUAUUGUGCCACAGAAUUUUAGUUUCUGUAGUCUCAUGGGAGAUUGAAUCAGGUCCACACAGCCUCCCAAGGGGUAACGCCUCCGCCCGGAUGCCCACCGGGUCAUUUGUUUGUGCCAGAGAUUUUCCGGCCCGAUGUCAUUCGAUGGAGUCCCACAUUUUGCUAGAUUUCUUCACAGGUCUCCCGCCCUCAAGUGGGAACAUGGUGGUUUUGACCGUGGUAGACUGAUUCUCAAAAGCUGCUCAUUUCAUCCCUCUGCCUAAAUAACCAUCUGCCAGAGAGACAACAGUUGCUGUCAUUGACCAUGUUUUUCGCAUUUAUGGCCUCCCGACGGACAUGGUCUAUGACAGGGGGCUUCAGUUUGUCUCUAAAUUUUGGAGUGAGUUUUGACAUUUGUUGGGGGCAACUGUUAGUCUUUCUUUUGGGUAUCAUCCCCAGAGUAAUGGUCAGACAGAGAGAGCCAACCAAGACCUAGAACGUAUGUUGCGACGUUUGGUCUCUCAGAAACCAUCCUCUUGGAGUCAGCAGCUUUCAUGGGUUACUCAUUACCAGUAUCUGCCACGGGCCUGUCUCUGUUUGAGUGUAGUUUAGGGUACCAGCCACCUAUUUUAUAUCCAUGUCCUCCAUCAAAAAGUGUGGUUUUCAUCUAGGAACAUUCCUCUCUGUACCAUAUGAAAUAAACUUGCUCCUUAAUUUUAUUGGCCCAUUUACGAUCACCAAGAUUAUUAGUCCAGUAGUGGUCCGCCUGAAACUGCCUUCGGCGUACAGGAGGAUUCAUUCUGUUUUAUGUUUCCAAAUUAAAGCCUGUUUUUCAUGCUAACAUUAAACCACAAACCCCAGUUCCCCCACUGCCGCGACUCGUAGAUGGAGAAUUGGUUAAUUCAGUGAAUCGGACUCUGGACUCUGGGCGGAGGAGACUCAGAUUCCAGUACUUGGUGGACUGGGAAGGUUACGGUCCAGAGGAGAGGAGUUGGGUGCCUGCAAGAGUCAUAUUGGAUCACUCUCUUAUUGAUCAUUACAAUCGUCAGGCAAGUUCCUCUGGGAGUGCCAGGAGGUGCUCUUAGGGUAGGGGGUACUGUCAUGGUUCAUGGGUCUGUGUGCUCAUUUCUGUGACUGUGGGUGUUAUCCGCUCCUUGUGCUCGUCAGUGUUGCCUAGUUACCCCGCACCUGAUGAGCUGAUCAGAGUGGUCACAGGUGUAGCUCGUCUGCACUGCCUAUAUCUGGCUGGUGUUUCUGUUGAGUUGUCAGAUCGUUGUUGCUCAUGUCUUGUUUGGUUUUCUAUCAGACCUUCUAGUUCCUGAGUUUGAUUCCCACUUUGUUGCUGUUCUCUGUUCCCUGGAGGGUUUGGACUGCUGAUUAUUCUCUACCUGAGUGUGACUCUGCACUGCCGGGUUACCUGCACUUCUAUUAUUGAUGUAGUUCGAGUCAUCUAAUAAAGACUACCUUUCACUUGCAAUUGGAUCUUGUGUUUCGGUUUCAUGACCUUUUCAUUUUAAUUGCAAAUCACAUGCAAUUACAUGUCCAAAACCUAUAUGUAAGUUUACUCUUAAAGUACUUGUUU
Long non-coding RNA from Cyprinus carpio (common carp), 4160 nucleotides. RefSeq lists it as uncharacterized. NCBI's taxonomy places the organism in Eukaryota, Metazoa, Chordata, Actinopteri, Cypriniformes, Cyprinidae. The transcript is spliced from 2 exons. The record is from RefSeq and is a predicted model, not a curated record.